Molecule: non-coding RNA, 2065 nt
Organism: Odocoileus virginianus texanus
Lineage: Eukaryota; Metazoa; Chordata; Mammalia; Artiodactyla; Cervidae
Source: RefSeq, a predicted model, not a curated record
GCGGUAGUCUCCUCGUAAGUGGGCCACGGGACCAGCGGGCACCGGACCCUGGCUCUGUAAGGCAGUGUGCUCCUAGGAGGCCCGAUAACAAAUAAAGAGUGACCUCACACACCGUCCCUUCUUACACCCCAACCCUUUAAAUAAAAACACGUUUCGCGGUCUCGCACCGCCCGCCUCGCUCUCCACAGGUAAAGCUCGGACAUCUAAGAGCGCGCUGGGUGAUAGAUUCCCUGGGAAUUCCUAAUUUGAAAAUCACAGAUUUGGAUGAUUUUUUGGAUAAUGACUCUCUCAUCAAAAAGUUAAUGGGGAGGAGUCAACGUUUUUUCUUAUCCUUUCAAGCUGUGUGCCAUAACCUGUGAUUGAAAAUUAUAAACAGUGAAGUACUAUCAAGGAAGAAGCUGUACAUCACUUAUAAAUCAAUUUUAAACUGAACACUCUAAAACUGAAUCUAUUUCAAAAGAGGCAUGAUUGAACGUAAGCCUGUGCCAUAUCCUCAAAGAGGUUAGAUUUUAAAUUCCUCUAGAAUCAUUAGAGACUUGGGUUCUAGGGUUUAUUAAAUCACAUUAUUCAAUGAAAGAGAUGACUCCCAAUAACUCUUUCAUAUUAUAUCCUUCAACUUUUUUCUAACCUCUUUAUCUCAUAGAUAGUAUCACAAAAUAAAACAAUUUGAAAAAGAACUGACCAGCCUAUUCCAUAAACAGUUUUCUUAUUGCUCUCUGCCAUGGUGCUAUUCUCCUCAUUCUCUUUACAUUGUCACAUUAAUCACUUUGGGUACAGAAUACCAUAACACGUUCCUCAUUUUUCUGUCUCUAAUCUCUUCCAGCUACAUAGAACUGAUAAAUAAUAUAUUUCAAAUAUUUGUUGUUUUUAAACAUGGAUAUUUCCUGAUCAGGAAGUAUCUGUGCCAUUGUUCUUAGCCUCAAAUUUAUGAUCAACAGCUAUUUCUUUUUCUGAUAAAUUGUAAUUCCUUUCUUUUCUCAAAUGAACCCUCCCUCCACCUUCAGCCAAGUCCAUUCAUUCGUGUCCCCUAAGAGAAAAGCUUACAUCUCUUUCUAGGCUUUGGUUCGCCCUGUUUCUUAGGCUAAGAAUGAGAAGUCAUUCUCUCAGGGCCUAAAAACAGGCUCAAAAUCCCCAGGAAGGAUUCCAAACACCACCCAAAUUGGCUCUGUUACCCUCUCUGCUCAGCACCUUUCAACAUUUAUGUGCUUAUUUUACAAUAUCUUAACUUACAUUUGAAGACAAACUGAUCUAUCUACUACUUCAAUUGUUUGAUGUAAUUUGUUUUCUAACUCCCAACAAAAACUCUAUAAAGUCUUUAAGGUCAAAAAUGGCCCCAGUGGUGUGCUGGAUUUGGGUAAAGCCAGUUGUGCCUGUUAACUCCAGGCACAUCAUGUUCAAUGAUAUGUUGGCCACAGUGGAAAUCAGCAAAUGCUACAAAGUAGGACUUUUUUCGGUUUUGUUUUUCUUGGACAGCAGUUGAUAACUAUUUACCAGCACACCACUAGAAUUUCGGUAAUCUAAUUUUAUGUUCUCCUUAAAAAUGCUUAAUAAGGUUUUCUGCAUCCAGUAGGUACUCAAAAACUUCUGACUAACAACACACAAACACAAAAUAUUAGCAUAAUUUACUCAAUACACAAAUUAUUUCAGAAAGAGCUAGAGCAUCUGAUGUUGUUUUGGAAAUGGUCUGAUAGCUCAUAUUCAUGUACAAUUUCACAUUAUUUACCAAAAGUAAUGUUACGUUUUUAUAAAAUUCAAUGUUUCUGGGGGUCUAACUCUCAGAAAAUAGUACACAUAAUUUCUCACUUUUAGAAAAUAAAUGAAGUUUUACAGUCAUUGCUUUGUUUCUGAGAGUACUUGAUUGCUUUCCUUAAUAGGCCAAAUUUCUGAAGCAACAGAUGCCUCCCAAAUUACGUACUACCAUGUCUUUUAUUACCACAUAACUAUUUUUAGUACAUUAAUUCUUUUUAUUUAAUUUCCACAAGUGCAAACAGUGGGAUUGUGCACAAUUUGUUAAAAUAGUUUUCUCAAACAAUCAUGACACAUUCAAGGACUAAUGCACUUGGGA